CGUGAGUGAAGAAGGUUUUCGGAUCGUAAAGCUCUGUUGUUGGUGAAGAAGGAUAGAGGCAGUAACUGGUCUUUAUUUGACGGUAAUCAACCAGAAAGUCACGGCUAACUACGUGCCAGCAGCCGCGGUAAUACGUAGGUGGCAAGCGUUGUCCGGAUUUAUUGGGCGUAAAGCGAGCGCAGGCGGAAUGAUAAGUCUGAUGUGAAAGCCCACGGCUCAACCGUGGAACUGCAUCGGAAACUGUCAUUCUUGAGUGCAGAAGAGGAGAGUGGAAUUCCAUGUGUAGCGGUGGAAUGCGUAGAUAUAUGGAAGAACACCAGUGGCGAAGGCGGCUCUCUGGUCUGCAACUGACGCUGAGGCUCGAAAGCAUGGGUAGCGAACAGGAUUAGAUACCCUGGUAGUCCAUGCCGUAAACGAUGAGCGCUAGGUGUUGGGGACUUUCCGGUCCUCAGUGCCGCAGCAAACGCAUUAAGCGCUCCGCCUGGGGAGUACGACCGCAAGGUUGAAACUCAAAGGAAUUGACGGGGGCCCGCACAAGCGGUGGAGCAUGUGGUUUAAUUCGAAGCAACGCGAAGAACCUUACCAGGUCUUGACAUCCUGGGCUACACCUAAAGAUAGGUGGUUCCCUUCGGGGACC
RNAcentral lists this ribosomal RNA (637 nucleotides) under Lactobacillus delbrueckii subsp. bulgaricus. Its description in RNAcentral is "bacterial SSU rRNA". It matches the Rfam family "Bacterial small subunit ribosomal RNA", at positions 400 to 1028 of the family's 1533-position model. The record is from RNAcentral. Lineage: Bacteria; Bacillati; Bacillota; Bacilli; Lactobacillales; Lactobacillaceae.